AAUCUUACCGGGUCCGGACACACUGAGGAUUGACAGAUAUACGUACCACUCAUUCGCGUGGGUUGGUACUGAAAGAUGCUAGUUCUUUCAUGAUUAUGUGAUAGGUGGUGCAUGGCCGUUCUUAGUUCGUGGAGUGAUCUGUCUGCUUAAUUGCGUAUCAUUAAAGAGACCUAGUAUACGCGUAAGACUUUCGUUUACGGUUCGUGACCCCCUUCGGGCGUGUGUCGCACGUACGAGUCAUACGCACUGGUCUCCGAUAGCAACGAACGUGACCGUACUCUAUUGUUGCAGCGAAUGUAUGCACCUUCCCGGUGUAUCUACCGCUGCUUAGUGCGUAUGCGUACCUCGGUGCGUGUCGCACAUUAAACUAUAGAGACCGCUGUCUUUUCUUUAAACCAGAGGAAGGAUACGGCAAUAACAGGUCUGUGAUGCCCUCAGAUGUUCCGGGCUGCACACGUGCUACAAUGAUCAUUGCACUGUGCAUCUAACCCAAUGUGCGUGGACGCCACGGUGAUACGUUUCGGCGUGUCAUUAGUUGGUCGACCACGCCGAACCUACUUCGAAAGUAAAAUUUUUAAGUGGGUAAUCCAUUAGAAGUAAUGACUCGCAUAGACCAUGGUACACUCUUUAUGUACGCGCAGGUCCUACCCGGCCGUCCUUUGUGUCGGUGCAGUGCGUAGCUUGUUGUUUCGUACGUACCACUCCGUAUUAAUUCAUACGUGGGGAUAGAUCAUUGUUUAAUUGUUGGUCUCGGUCUUAACUAGGAAUGCCUUGUACGGGUCUCUGGUUCAACAUACCACCCGGAAUACGUCCCUGCCCUUUGUACACACCGCCCGUCGCUCUUACCGAUGGAUUAUACUAUGAAUCUAUAGGACUGCCAAAGUUGUGCACUCGUGCGCGCUUAGUGGAAAUAUAUAUGAAUA
This 923-nucleotide ribosomal RNA is filed under the name Ammonia sp. Its description in RNAcentral is "SSU rRNA". It matches the Rfam family "Eukaryotic small subunit ribosomal RNA", at positions 1211 to 1765 of the family's 1831-position model. Lineage: Eukaryota; Foraminifera; Rotaliida; Rotaliidae. The record is from RNAcentral.